Molecule: ribosomal RNA, 406 nt
Filed under: uncultured bacterium
Lineage: Bacteria
Description: partial 16S ribosomal RNA
Rfam family: Bacterial small subunit ribosomal RNA
Source: RNAcentral
AUUGAACGCUGGCGGCAUGCUUUACACAUGCAAGUCGAACGAGUGGCGCACGGGUGAGUAAUACAUCUGAACGUGUCCUAUCGUAGGGGAGAACUGAUCGAAAGACUAGCUAAUACUGCAUACGAUUUGAGCGUCCGUUGCCCGAUUAGCUAGUUGGUGGGGUAAAGGCCCACCAAGGCGACGAGCGGUAGCUGGUCUGAGAGGACGACCAGCCACACUGGGACUGAGACACGGCCCAGACUCCUACGGGAGGCAGCAGUGGGGAAUUUUGGACAAUGGGGGCAACCCUGAUCCAGCCAUGCCGCGUGCAGGAUGAAGGUCUUCGGAUUGUAAACUGCUUUUGUCAGGGAAGCGGUACCUGAAGAAUAAGCACCGGCUAACUACGUGCCAGCAGCCGCGGUAAUUC